Molecule: ribosomal RNA, 495 nt
Filed under: uncultured bacterium
Lineage: Bacteria
Description: partial 16S ribosomal RNA
Rfam family: Bacterial small subunit ribosomal RNA
Source: RNAcentral
GACGAACGCUGGCGGCGUGCCUAAUACAUGCAAGUAGAACGCUGAAGGAGGAGCUUGCUUCUCUGGAUGAGUUGCGAACGGGUGAGUAACGCGUAUGUAACCUGCCUGGUAGCGGGGGAUAACUAUUGGAAACGAUAGCUAAUACCGCAUAAUAGUAGAUGUUGCAUGACAUUUGCCUAAAAGGUGCAAUUUCAUCACUACCAGAUGGACCUGCGUUGUAUUAGCUAGUUGGUGGGGUAACGGCUCAACAAGGCGACGAUACAUAGUCGGCCCGAGAGGGGGGUCCGCCCCACUGGGACUGAAACAAGGGUCAGGCUCCUUCGGGAGGCAGCAGUAGGGAAGCUUCGGCAAUGGACGGAAGGCUGACCGGACAAAGGCGCGGGAGUGAAGAAGGGUUUCGGAUCGUAAAGCUCGGUUGUAAGAGAAGAACGAGUGUGAGAGUGGAAAGUUCACACUGUGACGGUAUCUAACCAGAAAGGGACGGCUAACUACGUG